Molecule: non-coding RNA, 74 nt
Organism: Glossina morsitans morsitans
Lineage: Eukaryota; Metazoa; Arthropoda; Insecta; Diptera; Glossinidae
Source: Rfam
CAAAGGUGCAUUGUAGUCGCAUUGUCCGUGUUAUAAGGAAGAAGUCGGCCAAUACUUCUGCAAUGCAAACUUUG